AGCCCCUAGCGCAGACGGCGGAGAGCAGAGAGGGAGCGCGCCUUGGCUCGCUGGCCUUGGCGGCGGCUCCUCAGGAGAGCUGGGGCGCCCACGAGAGGAUCCCUCACCCGGGUCUCUCCUCAGGGAUGACAUCAUCCGUCCACCUCCUUGUCUUCAAGGACCACCUCCUCUCCAUGCUGAGCUGCUGCCAAGGGGCCUGCUGCCCAUCUACACCUCACGAGGGCACUAGGAGCACGGUUUCCUGGAUCCCACCAACAUACAAAGCAGCCACUCACUGACCCCCAGGACCAGGAUGGCAAAGGAUGAAGAGGACCGGAACUGACCAGCCAGCUGUCCCUCUUACCUAAAGACUUAAACCAAUGCCCUAGUGAGGGGGCAUUGGGCAUUAAGCCCUGACCUUUGCUAUGCUCAUACUUUGACUCUAUGAGUACUUUCCUAUAAGUCUUUGCUUGUGUUCACCUGCUAGCAAACUGGAGUGUUUCCCUCCCCAAGGGGGUGUCAGUCUUUGUCGACUGACUCUGUCAUCACCCUUAUGAUGUCCUGAAUGGAAGGAUCCCUUUGGGAAAUUCUCAGGAGGGGGACCUGGGCCAAGGGCUUGGCCAGCAUCCUGCUGGCAACUCCAAGGCCCUGGGUGGGCUUCUGGAAUGAGCAUGCUACUGAAUCACCAAAGGCACGCCCGACCUCUCUGAAGAUCUUCCUAUCCUUUUCUGGGGGAAUGGGGUCGAUGAGAGCAACCUCCUAGGGUUGUUGUGAGAAUUAAAUGAGAUAAAAGAGGCCUCAGGCAGGAUCUGGCAUAGAGGAGGUGAUCAGCAAAUGUUUGUUGAAAAGGUUUGACAGGUCAGUCCCUUCCCACCCCUCUUGCUUGUCUUACUUGUCUUAUUUAUUCUCCAACAGCACUCCAGGCAGCCCUUGUCCACGGGCUCUCCUUGCAUCAGGUAGGGGCUUUGCAGAGACCAUCGACGGGCUGACUUGACCAAGCUUCUUGAAAGGCCUGUCUACACUUGCUGUCUUCCUUCCUCACCUCCAAUUUCCUCUUCAACCCACUGCUUCCUGACUCGCUCUACUCCGUGGAAGCACGCUCACAAAGGGCUAAUCUCGGGCCUUGUCGAAGGAAGAGGCUGCAGACGUUAAUGAGGUUAGCUGCUGGAUUCCAGUAUUCGUCGCAUAAGGAUCCUUCUUUGUCUGCGAAGGAAAAACACACUGAUUAUCAUAAUGAGGCACGUGGGCCGUGGCCCGGCUGGGUCGGCUGAAGAACUGCGGAUGGAAGCUGCGGAAGAGGCCCUGAUGGGGCCCACCAUCCCGGACCCAAGUCUUCUUCCUGGCGGGCCUCUCGUCUCCUUCCUGGUUUGGGCGGAAGCCAUCACCUGGAUGCCUACGUGGGAAGGGACCUCGAAUGUGGGACCCCAGCCCCUCUCCAGCUCGAAAUCCCUCCACAGCCACGGGGACACCCUGCACCUAUUCCCACGGGACAGGCUGGACCCAGAGACUCUGGACCCGGGGCCUCCCCUUGAGUAGAGACCCGCCCUCUGACUGAUGGACGCCGCUGACCUGGGGUCAGACCCGUGGGCUGGACCCCUGCCCACCCCGCAGGAACCCUGAGGCCUAGGGGAGCUGUUGAGCCUUCAGUGUCUGCAUGUGGGAAGUGGGCUCCUUCACCUACCUCACAGGGCUGUUGUGAGGGGCGCUGUGAUGCGGUUCCAAAGCACAGGGCUUGGCGCACCCCACUGUGCUCUCAAUAAAUGUGUUUCCUGUCUUAACAAAAA
RNAcentral lists this long non-coding RNA (1763 nucleotides) under Homo sapiens (human). RNAcentral describes it as "non-protein coding lnc-DLK1-35:20". The stretch from base 536 to 640 matches the Rfam family "Maternally expressed 3 conserved region 2". Lineage: Eukaryota; Metazoa; Chordata; Mammalia; Primates; Hominidae. The record is from RNAcentral.